UAAUAUUUUUAGGUUUUUAAUAUUUUUAUUAGGUUAGGUAGAGAUUAAAGUUAUAUUUUUCUUAAGACCAUAUAGCAAUUAAAACACCAUUUGUUAAAAAAAAAAGAUCUCUCAUUCUUCCAUUUAACUGCCCUGAUGCAGUCAUCCAAAAUCAAUUAAUGAUAUAUCACCCGAUUUAUUUCUGGACUCCCAAUUAUCUUUCAUUAUCUAUUUGGUCUUCUGUCAUAUCACACUCUCUUGAUUUAUGUAUUAUUUUUGUAACUUUGUAAGUCUUCCGAAUGUGUUCUUUUAAUUUUUUACAGGAUCAUUUUGGCUAUUUCAGAUCCUUUGCUUUUCCAGCAGGUUUAGCAAAAGCAAAUUUAGACUGAUUUUAUUCACAACAGCCUUCAAAAAAAAUUCCUUACGUUUGAUGUUCUAUCCUCACUCAGUUAGGACAGUCUUCAAAACAAGCCGGCUUCCUCUGGAUCACAAUGGACCGGGAGGUGAUCAGCCAGUCUAGGAUGCCUCAGCAGGACUCAACUCUGUUUUACUUGAUCUCUCACUGACCAGUAUGAAAGCCUGAGCAAGUUCUUAUAGUUGGACAGGCCUCAAAGACAGACAGCGGAAACAUUCAAAAUGUUUUGAGGAAUAAAUUUAGAAACGGUCCUUUGUUACCCCUGCUGCACUUGGCCAACCUAUUUCUUUGUUUUUAAGUGUGGAUUACUGCCCCGCAUACUCCGAUUUGCACCCUUCCAGACCAAACCGAACUGUUAUAUUUCAUGUAUUUUUUUUAGUAAAAAUGAGCUAAUUUGUUAUUUUUAUUUUUAUUAUUUUUCAUUAGCAUAAUAGUUUUUGAAUUUUUUUCAUAUGUUAUUGGGGUACAGGUGGUAUUUACAUGAGCAGGUUUUUAGUGGUGAUUUGUGAGAUCCUGGCACACUCAUCACCUGAGCAGUACGCACUGAAUUGUAUUUGUAAUUUUUCAUCCCUUGCUUCCUCCCACCCUUCCCCUGAAGCCUAAAGUCCACUGUAUCUUUCUUAAGCCUUUGCAUCCUCAUAGCUUAGCUCCUACAUAUCGUUGAGAACACACGAUGUUUGGUUUUCCAUUCCUGAGUUACUUUACUUAGAAUAACAGUCUUCAAUCUCAUCAGCCAAAGAACAUAUGAAAAAAUGCUCAACAUCACUAUUGGUCAGGGAAAUGCAAAUCAAAACGACCCAUUUCUCAGGAAAGAUGAAGACAGAUUCCUUUGCUUGAUGGGAAUAGGUGAAAUGUGGCAUGGAACAAAGGAUCUUUAGAGCAGUCAAACUAUUCUCUCUGCUACUAUAAUGAUGGAUACAUGUCACUAUACAUUUUCAAAAUCCAGAAAAAGUACAACAUUAAGAGUGAGACCUAUGUAAAUUACGAACUUUGGGUAAUAGUAUUGUGCCUUUCUUGGCUCAUUAAUUAUAACAAAUGUACCACUUUGACGUGGGAGGUUGACAUUGGGGGAGACUGUGUGUGUGUUGGGGGUAAUUAUGUGCAUUCAGCUCAAUAUUGCUGUGAACCUAAAAUUGCUCUGAAAAGUAAAGUCUAUGUUAAAAAGUGGAUGCUUUGAGGAAUCAGUGUUAUAAUAAACUUUUCA
Long non-coding RNA from Callithrix jacchus (white-tufted-ear marmoset), 1598 nucleotides. RefSeq lists it as uncharacterized. The record is from RefSeq and is a predicted model, not a curated record. NCBI's taxonomy places the organism in Eukaryota, Metazoa, Chordata, Mammalia, Primates, Cebidae.